CCAGGACUAUCACACUGGGGACCGGCUUCUCUGCUCUCCCUUUAUAGGGGUCGGGGGAAUGAAGGGGCAAGGGUCUUCCGAAGAAAGCGAGAAAGGAACAGGCGCCUUCAAAAGCCCACUUGGCAUGGGUUACAGUAAGAGCAUUGCUCCCUGCUUGGCUGAGCACUGCGGAGUUUCACGCCUCUAAACCCCGCCUCUUCUUGCAACCUGUGUUGGCCUCAUCUACCCAGCAACUGUCGACGUCACACGACCUGGGCCUCCCUGAAUGGGAGAUAUUUACUAGACAAUCCCGCCUACUGUUCUGAGGUUUCCCCUCCACGUGCCGCUUCAGAGCCAGGCGAGCCAGGAAGGACCAGCGGGCGAGGUGGAAGUCUGCAUUAUCACGAGGAGCUUGGAAAGGAGGUAACACACUCAAGGCAAAUUUCAAGUAACUCAUCCUAGAGGCAGCUGCCUACUCUGCAGCUGUGGUUCUCCACCACAGAGAGAAGAAAAGGGAGGGAGAUGGAGUGUGCAGGUCUGAGAAGGCUUUCAUUCUGGAGCAUCUGCAGGAGCCUGCACCAUGGCCCAGUAGCACCCCUUUUUCUCCAUGAGCUGCUGGUGGGUUCCCCCCUCCCGGAUAGCGCCUCCUUCCAGAAAGAGGAUGUGGUCAGCCUGCUCCACCAGGCUGAGGUGCUGGGUGAUGAGAAGCACUGAGCGGGAGUACCGCUCAGGGCUUUGGUACAGGAGCUGCUCCACCUGAGGAAAGAUAUCGGACCGUCAGAGCUGGGGACUACCCUCAGCCCAGGGAGACACCUGUGUUUCCAGGGCUGGGACUGACCUCACAGGAUCACUGCUGGCUCUGCUAACAACCCCAAGGACACCAACGUUUCCCAUUCUGAGUACUUCUCCGCAAACCCUUUGUUUCAUUAAGGACUGUUUUACAUGAAGGUGCAAAA
RNAcentral lists this long non-coding RNA (935 nucleotides) under Pongo abelii (Sumatran orangutan). RNAcentral describes it as "lincRNA". Lineage: Eukaryota; Metazoa; Chordata; Mammalia; Primates; Hominidae. The record is from RNAcentral.